This 253-nucleotide ribosomal RNA is filed under the name uncultured bacterium. RNAcentral describes it as "partial 16S ribosomal RNA". It matches the Rfam family "Bacterial small subunit ribosomal RNA", at positions 524 to 776 of the family's 1533-position model. The record is from RNAcentral.
UACAGAGGGUGCGAGCGUUGUCCGGAAUCACUGGGCGUAAAGGGCGCGUAGGUGGCGGUGUUAGCGUGCGGUGAAAGCCCGAGGCUCAACCUCGGGUCGGCCGUGCGAACUGCAUCGCUUGAGCAGAGUAGAGGCAGGUGGAAUUCCGGGUGUAGCGGUGGAAUGCGUAGAGAUCCGGAAGAACACCGGUGGCGAAGGCGGCCUGCUGGGCUCUGGCUGACACUGAGGCGCGACAGCGUGGGGAGCAAACAGG